UCGCAUAUAGCUUAAUUAAUUUCUCUCUUUUUUCCUCUCUGUAUUUUGUUUGUUCAUCAUCAACCAUGCUCUCAAAACCAGCUUCCGAGUCCGACCUCUCAGUGCUCGCAACAUCGGCGUCUCGCUUUGUCCUGGAUGCAGCAAUCUUCUUCAUCUUCAACGAAUUCUUGUUGACCGAGUCCAUGAUUAGCUUGUCGGACUUGGUAGAACUUCAAGCCAAAGUUGAACCUGGCUUCGUUCGUCACCAGUUUGUUAUGGAGCCCGAGUCCGACGAGCUAAUCAUGGAGUCCUUCAACAAGAAUUUCGUUGACAGUACCCUGUUACCACAGAACUUCAUGUAAGUAUAAAAUCUCUCUCUCUCUCUCUCUCUCGCACGUGUUCACACACACACUGGGUAGCCAACAUCGGUUCAAAUUAACAAAGCAGAUUUCUUUCUCUCCAAAUAAAUUUAUUCCGUGUUAUUAGAUCUACCAAAAGACUUGAACCAAAAAAAAAAAAAAACCACAAAGAAGAAAAUAACAUACAAAGAACCACAAAGAAUUGGAAUCACUGAAUUCAUAAUAAUGAAUAUGAAUGAAGGCCCCUGGGUCUCAGCGAUUCUUUAGACAGUGGUUAAUUUAGGAGGUCACGGCUUUUUGGCGCUUGAUUCAUUUUUGGGCAACGACAUUCUCUUGUUUCUCUCCUUCAACUACGAGCUUUGGGGGGAGCUUGUCAAGAUCGUGGAGUACAUUCGUGAUGUCUUGUACAAGGCGCUCAGCCAAGGUUGGCGAGAACUCCGCCCUAAUCAUGAUGAUGAUGAUUUUGAAUGUGAUUUGUUGGUAUAGAAUGGGUGCGUGAACAUGAUAGCACUUCGAUCUGUUUAACGCUCCACUUGGAGACUCUGAGGAUAUGAUGCAAUUGGAGUGGGAACAGUGGGUUCAUUCAUCUGAGGCUAUUAUGCUUGCUGGCCAUGGCCUUGCAUUCAAGAGGAAGUGGCAGAACCCCAACAUUGUCACUGGUGCCAAUGUUCAGGUGGAGCCCAAGAUAGCAGCAACACAAAUAGUGUUCUCAUCCACCAUUUCCACUGCUUUUGCAGGGUCCAUUGCAUAAGUACCCUUCAUUUAACCGGAGCUUGAAUGGGAUUUCCGCCUUCCCCUGGUGAGGAGCAUCAAUGUCACGGCCUUGUUUAUGCCGGAAUUGGGUGGGUUAUUUGGAGGACCAAACAAGACCUGCCUGAAGAGCUUGUCUUCCGCAUCAAAUACCUUGGAGCUGAGCAAUAAGAUCAAUAAUCCUCAUUUCAUUGCCUUUUUUUUCUAUCUAGUGUACUUGUAUGUGCGCACACGCGCAUGGCAGAUCUAAUGAUGUAUUAAUUAGCUUGUUCCAAAAAAAAAAAAAAAAAAAACGGACAAGUUAACCUGUAACUAAUUAAAUUAACUAAUCAUGUUUUUUGCUUAAU
Molecule: non-coding RNA, 1435 nt
Organism: Corylus avellana
Lineage: Eukaryota; Viridiplantae; Streptophyta; Magnoliopsida; Fagales; Betulaceae
Source: RefSeq, a predicted model, not a curated record